This 253-nucleotide ribosomal RNA is filed under the name uncultured bacterium. RNAcentral's name for it is "partial 16S ribosomal RNA". It matches the Rfam family "Bacterial small subunit ribosomal RNA", at positions 524 to 776 of the family's 1533-position model. The record is from RNAcentral.
UACGUAGGGGGCAAGCGUUGUCCGGAUUUAUUGGGCGGAAAGAGCGUGUAGGCGGUUUGGUAGGUCCGCUGUGAAAACUCGAGGCUCAACCUCGAGACGCCGGUGGAAACCAUCAGACUAGAGUCCGGAAGAGGAGAGUGGAAUUCCUGGUGUAGCGGUGAAAUGCGUAGAUAUCGGGAGGAACACCAGUGGCGAAGGCGACUACCUGGCCUGUUCUUGACGCUGAGGCGCGAAAGCUAGGGGAGCAAACGGG